AUAUGGUGCAAAUGUCAUCAUCUUUGAAGGAAUCAUGGCCUUUGCAUAUAAGGAUUUGCGAGAUUUGAUGGAUAUGAAGGUUUUUGUUGAUGCUGAUCCUGAUGUUCGCUUGGCAAGACGGCUGAAAAGAGACAUCUCUGAACGAGAAAGGGACCUUGUUGGUGUCUUGCAGCAAUACAACACUUUUGUGAAACCUGCCUUUGAUCAAUACAUAGCACCAACAGUUGUUUAUGCAGACAUUGUUGUCCCAAGAGGUGGUGAAAAUAAUGUUGCAAUUGAUCUGAUUGUGCGCCAUGUUAGAACACAGCUGGAACAGAGAGGAUUUAAUUUCAGAGCACAGCUUCGGUCGUUCCAUCAAGGACAGCCACUACCUAGUUCACUGAGUAUUUUAGAAAGUACACCACAAGUCAGAGGAUUACAUGCAAUUAUUAGGAAUGAGGAGGCCAGUCGAGAUGACUUUGUCUUUUAUUCCAAGAGGCUGAUGAGAAUUCUUAUUGAACAUGCACUUUCACUCUUACCAUUCAAAAAACAUGUGGUGACAACAAUGGAGGGCAAAAUUUAUGAAGGAAGAAAAUUUGCAGGGAAAAGGCUGUGUGGUGUAUCAAUACUGAGGGCGGGUGAAACCAUGGAGCCAGCUCUAGAGUCUUUGUGCAAAGAUGUCAGAAUAGGAAAGAUUCUCAUUCAGACCAAUGAAAUAACAUCAGAACCUGAGCUUCAUUAUCAUCGUCUUCCAAAGGGCAUUAGUGAAGAUCAUGUAAUACUUAUGGACGCUACUGUGGCAACUGGUGCAGCAGCACUCAUGGCUAUCCGAGUUUUAUUGGACCAUGAUGUUAAAGAGGAGAAUAUUUUGUUCUUGUCUUUGAUAACUGCUGAAUCAGGGGAAAAAGAGAUGUAACGAAAAACGGUCAUUCAAUAGAUCCGGGCAACGGAUUCUGAAAACUCUGUACAGCCUUUUGAAGCCAGGCCUGAACUGAAACAGGUAGAGAUCGUAGUUGGCCAAAUCGGAUAUGGAGUGUGUUCAAUUUUGGUCUAAUUUAGUUAGUGGUUCUGAGGGACUAGAUGACACUACCGUGCCAAAAAGUUGUCAUGUGGGUACCCCACCCGGGAACGUGAAGGGCAAACUAUCUGAAGGAUGCGAGGCUUAUUCAAUGACAGCGCUUAUUACAAAAAUGGACGAGACAGAGAAAUGCUUCUAGAAAUUUAACGGUGCAUUUUUGUUAUCGAAACGUCUACAGAAGUUAUCAAAGGUAUUUCUUAAUUUUCACGACGCUUCUCUUUCGAUACAUUUCAACUGCUUUACAUCAACAUCGAUGACACUGUCUCCUUAAUCUGAGUCUACGAGCUCCAUCGUAGGGGGGUUCGCGGUUUCUUCGUCUGGGUCUGUGCAUUCGAAAGGAUUUGCAUCUAGUUCCUUCAAGAUAUUCAACUGUGUCUGAAGCACUGCAGCUUGUAAAAUAAUUAUUCGAAUAAGUGCCGUACCGACGCUGCGGCGCUGAUUAAUCUUUUUGUCUCAAAUGCGGCGCUUAUUUGUGGGAAGCGCUUGUUCGAGUAAAUUUGGUAUUUGAAAAAAUUCAGUAAAAAACAGGCGAGAGUUUACGUGCUUUAUUGGGAUGUAAUGCUCCAAUAAGGGGUAGUGUUACCAAAUGACUGGCGAAGGGUUAGGGUCGCGUGAGGUGGACGAACACAGGCUACAACGGUACUGAUGAGUCAUCUGGUUUUUCAAAAUCCAGGUACUGGAGGGCACUUACCAUAUUUGCCUUAUUUCUAUACAGAAUAAUAGCCAGGGGGGGCAAAAGGGGACUGUUCUUGUGUCUUAGAAUAAGACGGUUAAACUGUUUUGUUGUAGGUGUCCAUACAAUAGCUUAUGCAUACCCGAAGGUCAAAAUAGUCACAGCAGCAGUUGACCCAGAAGUGAACGAUAAAUACCACGUCAUACCUGGAAUAGGGAAUUUUGGCGACCGUUAUUUUGGAACUGCGAACUGACAAGAAUCUUACGGUGUUGUCGUAAAGUACGUUCAUUUUUAUAAAAUGUUUCGUAGAGAGAAGCUUGUUUGUUAAAACAUUUAAUGGACCAUUUUUAUUAACAAAUAUGUAAAAUAUCACUAUUGUAUCAUUUAUUAUUGAAAAUUACACAUGAUAUUAAAAAGAACGCCAAACUGGUUAACUUUAGUAAUAAUAACAUCAUAAUUUUAACAAGCUCUUCUAGAGCGUCGAAAUGCACUCGUGUUUCAUAUCUUUGGGAUUGACGCUGACAUUCGCAAGAGUAUUUGUGAGGAUAUCUUAUUUAUUACCUUUUUUGAUUGUAAAAUGAACGAUUAUGUUAAUGAACUGAAGGCGAAAAAGGAUUAUUGUAAUUCAAGCAUUGAAGUAAAGUUGGCAACGUCUUGAA
Unclassified non-coding RNA from Pocillopora damicornis (cauliflower coral), 2389 nucleotides. The record is from RefSeq and is a predicted model, not a curated record. NCBI's taxonomy places the organism in Eukaryota, Metazoa, Cnidaria, Anthozoa, Scleractinia, Pocilloporidae.